CAAUAGCGUAUAUUAACGUUGUUGCAGUUAAAAAGCUCGUAGUUGGAUUUCUGGAGGGAGCGUCGGCCCGUAUUUACGAGUGCGUGACGUCUCUGUCCAUCCUUGCGGGAAGGCACGGUAUUGAUUUGUUGUGUCGGAUCGCAUCAUUUACUGUGAAAAAAUUAGAGUGUUCAAAGCAGGCUUUCGCUUGAAUACAUUAGCAUGGAAUAAUAAGAUAGGACUUUGGUGCUAUUUUGUUGGUUGAGCCUAAAGUAAUGAUUAAUAGGGAUAGUUGGGGGCACCUGUAUUGCGUUGUCAGAGGUGAAAUUCUUGGAUUUACGCAAGACAAACAGCUGCGAAAGCGUCUGCCAAGGAUGUUUUCAUUAA
This 366-nucleotide ribosomal RNA is filed under the name uncultured eukaryote. RNAcentral describes it as "partial 18S ribosomal RNA". It matches the Rfam family "Eukaryotic small subunit ribosomal RNA", at positions 592 to 976 of the family's 1831-position model. The record is from RNAcentral.